Long non-coding RNA from Oncorhynchus keta (chum salmon), 1555 nucleotides. RefSeq lists it as uncharacterized. The transcript is spliced from 12 exons. NCBI's taxonomy places the organism in Eukaryota, Metazoa, Chordata, Actinopteri, Salmoniformes, Salmonidae. The record is from RefSeq and is a predicted model, not a curated record.
GCACUACAGAGGGUAGUGAGUACGGCCCAGUACAUCACUGGGGCCAAGCUUCCUGCCACCCAGGACCUCUAUACCAGGCAGUGUCAGAGGAAGGCCCUAGAAAUUGUCAGACUCCAGCCACCUUGGUCAUAGACUUUUCUCUCUGCUACCGCACGGCAAGCGGUACUGGAGCACCAAGUCUUGGUCCAAAUGGCUUCUUAACAGCUUCUACCCCCAAGCCAUAAGACUCCCGAACAGCUAAUCAAAUCGCUACCUGGACUAUUUUUUUAUUUAACACUUAUUUUUAUUAAAACUAGAUUGUUGGUUAAGGGCUGGUAAGUAAGCAUUUCACCUGUUGUAUUCGGCGCAUGUGACAAAUAACAUUUGAUUUGAGAUGUGAGUAUGGGGAUAUGGAGAGUUUAGGGAGUGAGAAGGUGUGGAUGUGAAUAUGGGGAUAUGGAGAGUUUAGGGAGGGAGAAGGUGUGGAUGUGAAUAUGGGGAUAUGGAGAGUUUAGGGAGGGAGAAGGUGUGGAUGUGAAUAUGGGGAUAUGGAGAGUUUAGGGAGGGAGAAGGUGUGGAUGUGAAUAUGGGGAUAUGGAGAGUUUAGGGAGUGAGAAGGUGUGGAUGUGAAUAUGGGGAUAUGGAGAGUUUAGGGAGGGAGAAGGUGUGGAUGUGAAUAUGGGGAUAAGGAGAGUUUAGGGAGGGAGAAGGUGUGGAUGUGAAUAUGGGGAUAAGGAGAGUUUAGGCAGGGAGAAGGUGUGGAUGUGAAUAUGGGGAUAUGGAGAGUUUAGGGAGGGAGAAUGUAUGGAUGUGAAUAUGGGGAUAGGGAGAGUUUAGGCAGGGAGAAGGUGUGGAUGUGAAUAUGGGGAUAAGGAGAGUUUAGGGAGGGAGAAGGUGUGGAUGUGAAUAUGGGGAUAAGGAGAGUUUAGGGAGGGAGAAGGUGUGGAUGUGAAUAUGGGGAUAGGGAGAGUUUAGGCAGGGAGAAGGUGUGGAUGUGAAUAUGGGGAUAUGGAGAGUUUAGGGAGGGAGAAGGUGUGGAUGUGAAUAUGGGGAUAGGGAGAGUUUAGGGAGGGAGAAGGUGUGGAUGUGAAUAUGGGGAUAGGGAGAGUUUAGGGAGGGAGAAGGUGUGGAUGUGAAUAUGGGGAUAUGGAGAGUUUAGGGAGGGAGAAGGUGUGGAUGUGAAUAUGGGGAUAGGGAGAGUUUAGGGAGGGAGAAGGUGUGGAUGUGAAUAUGGGGAUAUGGAGAGUUUAGGGAGGGAGAAGGUGUGGAUGUGAAUAUGGGGAUAUGGAGAGUUUAGGGAGGGAGAAGGUGUGGAUGUGAAUAUGGGGAUAUGGAGAGUUUAGGGAGGGAGAAGGUGUGGAUGUGAAUAUGGGGAUAUGGAGAGUUUAGGGAGUGAGAAGGUGUGGAUGUGAAUAUGGGGAUAGGGAGAGUUUAGGGAGUGAGAAGGUGUGGAUGUGAAUAUGGGGAUAUGGAGAGUUUAGGGAGUGAGAAGGUGUGGAUGUGAAUAUGGGGAUAUGGAGAGUUUAGGGAGUGAGAAGGUGUGGAUGUGAAUAUGGGGAUAAGGAGAGUUUAGGGA